CACACCGCCCGUCACACCACGAAAGCCCGUUGUACCAGAAGUCGCUGGAGCCAACCCGCAAGGGAGGCAAGCGCCCAAGGUAUGGCUGGUGAUUGGGGUG
This 100-nucleotide ribosomal RNA is filed under the name uncultured bacterium. Its description in RNAcentral is "partial 16S ribosomal RNA". It matches the Rfam family "Bacterial small subunit ribosomal RNA", at positions 1386 to 1482 of the family's 1533-position model. The record is from RNAcentral.